Molecule: ribosomal RNA, 580 nt
Filed under: fungal endophyte
Lineage: Eukaryota; Fungi
Description: eukaryotic LSU rRNA
Rfam family: 5.8S ribosomal RNA (bases 204-357)
Source: RNAcentral
CUCCGUUGGUGAACCAGCGGAGGGAUCAUUACUGAGUUUACGCUCUAUAACCCUUUGUGAACAUACCUAUAACUGUUGCUUCGGCGGGCAGGGUCUCCGUGACCCUCCCGGCCUCCCGCCCCCGGGCGGGUCGGCGCCCGCCGGAGGAUAACCAAACUCUGAUUUAACGACGUUUCUUCUGAGUGGUACAAGCAAAUAAUCAAAACUUUUAACAACGGAUCUCUUGGUUCUGGCAUCGAUGAAGAACGCAGCGAAAUGCGAUAAGUAAUGUGAAUUGCAGAAUUCAGUGAAUCAUCGAAUCUUUGAACGCACAUUGCGCCCGCCAGCAUUCUGGCGGGCAUGCCUGUUCGAGCGUCAUUUCAACCCUCAAGCUCUGCUUGGUGUUGGGGCCCUACAGCUGAUGUAGGCCCUCAAAGGUAGUGGCGGACCCUCCCGGAGCCUCCUUUGCGUAGUAACUUUACGUCUCGCACUGGGAUCCGGAGGGACUCUUGCCGUAAAACCCCCCAAUUUUCCAAAGGUUGACCUCGGAUCAGGUAGGAAUACCCGCUGAACUUAAGCAUAUCAAUAAGCGGAGGAGGUC